This 72-nucleotide transfer RNA is filed under the name Planctomycetaceae bacterium. RNAcentral describes it as "tRNA-Gln". It matches the Rfam family "tRNA". From Rfam's summary of the family: Transfer RNA (tRNA) molecules are approximately 80 nucleotides in length. The record is from RNAcentral. Lineage: Bacteria; Pseudomonadati; Planctomycetota; Planctomycetia; Planctomycetales; Planctomycetaceae. RNAcentral also lists the same sequence under 1 other name.
UACCCGGUGGUGUAAUUGGCAGCACUAGGGAUUUUGGCUCCCUUAGUCCAGGUUCGAGUCCUGGCCGGGUAG